CACGUAGGGGACGAGCGUUGUCCGGAUUCAUUGGGCGUAAAGCGCGUGUAGGCUGCUCGGAAAGUCGGAUGUGAAAGCCCUGGGCUCAACCUAGGAAGUGCAUUCGAAACUCCCGAGCCGGAGUCCUGGAGAGGAAGGCGGAAUUCUCGGUGUAGAGGUGAAAUUCGUAGAUAUCGAGAGGAACACCGGUGGCGAAGGCGGCCUUCUGGACAGUGACUGACGCUGAGACGCGAAAGCGUGGGGAGCAAACAGG
Molecule: ribosomal RNA, 253 nt
Filed under: uncultured bacterium
Lineage: Bacteria
Description: partial 16S ribosomal RNA
Rfam family: Bacterial small subunit ribosomal RNA
Source: RNAcentral